CCCUUAGAUGUUCUGGGCCGCACGCGCGCUACACUGAUGCAUUCAACGAGUCUAAAACCUGGUCUGAUAGGGCUGGGUAAUCUUUUGAAUGUGCAUCGUGAUUGGGAUAGAUGAUUGCAAUUCUUCAUCUUCAACGAGGAAUGCCUAGUAAACGCAAGUCAUCAGCUUGCAUCGAUUACGUCCCUGCCCUUUGUACACACCGCCCGUCGCUCCUACCGAUUGAAUGUUCCGAUGAAUACCAUGGACUGAGAGUAUGAAUGGGUUCGCCUAUUUCUGCUUCUCGGGAAGUGGAGUAAAUCUUAACAUUUAGAGGAAGGAGAAGUCGUAACA
Molecule: ribosomal RNA, 330 nt
Filed under: uncultured eukaryote
Lineage: Eukaryota
Description: partial 18S ribosomal RNA
Rfam family: Eukaryotic small subunit ribosomal RNA
Source: RNAcentral